RNAcentral lists this ribosomal RNA (749 nucleotides) under uncultured bacterium. RNAcentral describes it as "bacterial SSU rRNA". It matches the Rfam family "Bacterial small subunit ribosomal RNA", at positions 60 to 798 of the family's 1533-position model. The record is from RNAcentral.
AGUCGAGGGGCAGCAUGAUUGAAGCUUGCUUCAAUUGAUGGCGACCGGCGCACGGGUGAGUAACGCGUAUCCAACCUUCCGUACACUCAGGGAUAGCCUUUCGAAAGAAAGAUUAAUACCCGAUGGUAUGAUGAGAUUGCAUGAUAGCAUCAUUAAAGAUUUAUCGGUGCACGAUGGGGAUGCGUUCCAUUAGGUAGUAGGCGGGGUAACGGCCCACCUAGCCGACGAUGGAUAGGGGUUCUGAGAGGAAGGUCCCCCACAUUGGAACUGAGACGCGGUCCAAACUCCUACGGGGGGCAGCAGUGAGGAAUAUUGGUCAAUGGACGAGAGUCUGAACCAGCCAAGUAGCGUGAAGGAUGAAGGUCCUACGGAUUGUAAACUUCUUUUAUAAGGGAAUAAAACCUCCCACGUGUGGGAGCUUGUAUGUACCUUAUGAAUAAGCAUCGGCUAACUCCGUGCCAGCAGCCGCGGUAAUACGGAGGAUGCGAGCGUUAUCCGGAUUUAUUGGGUUUAAAGGGAGCGCAGACGGGUCGUUAAGUCAGCUGUGAAAGUUUGGGGCUCAACCUUAAAAUUGCAGUUGAUACUGGCGUCCUUGAGUGCGGUUGAGGUGUGCGGAAUUCGUGGUGUAGCGGUGAAAUGCUUAGAUAUCACGAAGAACUCCGAUUGCGAAGGCAGCACACUAAGCCGUAACUGACGUUCAUGCUCGAAAGUGUGGGUAUCAAACAGGAUUAGAUACCCUGGUAGUCCAC